UUAAAUUGAAGAGUUUGAUCAUGGCUCAGAUUGAACGCUGGCGGCAGGCCUAACACAUGCAAGUCGAACGGUAACAGAAAGCAGCUUGCUGCUUUGCUGACGAGUGGCGGACGGGUGAGUAAUGUCUGGGAAACUGCCUGAUGGAGGGGGAUAACUACUGGAAACGGUAGCUAAUACCGCAUAAUGUCGCAAGACCAAAGAGGGGGACCUUCGGGCCUCUUGCCAUCGGAUGUGCCCAGAUGGGAUUAGCUUGUUGGUGGGGUAACGGCU
This 270-nucleotide ribosomal RNA is filed under the name Escherichia coli O121:H19 str. 2010C-3840. RNAcentral describes it as "partial 16S ribosomal RNA". It matches the Rfam family "Bacterial small subunit ribosomal RNA", at positions 1 to 265 of the family's 1533-position model. The record is from RNAcentral. Lineage: Bacteria; Pseudomonadati; Pseudomonadota; Gammaproteobacteria; Enterobacterales; Enterobacteriaceae.